UUCGACACACUAUCAUUAACUGAAUCCAUAGGUUAAUGAGGCGAACCGGGGGAACUGAAACAUCUAAGUACCCCGAGGAAAAGAAAUCAACCGAGAUUCCCCCAGUAGCGGCGAGCGAACGGGGAGCAGCCCAGAGCCUGAAUCAGUAUGUGUGUUAGUGGAAGCGUCUGGAAAGGCGCGCGAUACAGGGUGACAGCCCCGUACACAAAAAUGCACAUGCUGUGAGCUCGAUGAGUAGGGCGGGACACGUGGUAUCCUGUCUGAAUAUGGGGGGACCAUCCUCCAAGGCUAAAUACUCCUGACUGACCGAUAGUGAACCAGUACCGUGAGGGAAAGGCGAAAAGAACCCCGGCGAGGGGAGUGAAAAAGAACCUGAAACCGUGU
RNAcentral lists this ribosomal RNA (384 nucleotides) under Escherichia coli. RNAcentral's name for it is "partial 23S ribosomal RNA". It matches the Rfam family "Bacterial large subunit ribosomal RNA", at positions 139 to 561 of the family's 2925-position model. Lineage: Bacteria; Pseudomonadati; Pseudomonadota; Gammaproteobacteria; Enterobacterales; Enterobacteriaceae. RNAcentral also lists the same sequence under 1 other name. The record is from RNAcentral.